Molecule: ribosomal RNA, 1540 nt
Filed under: Chlamydia psittaci C19/98
Lineage: Bacteria; Pseudomonadati; Chlamydiota; Chlamydiia; Chlamydiales; Chlamydiaceae
Also listed under: 3 other names
Description: bacterial SSU rRNA
Rfam family: Bacterial small subunit ribosomal RNA
Source: RNAcentral
AGAAUUUGAUCUUGGUUCAGAUUGAACGCUGGCGGCGUGGAUGAGGCAUGCAAGUCGAACGGAAUAAUGACUUCGGUUGUUAUUUAGUGGCGGAAGGGUUAGUAAUACAUAGAUAAUCUGUCCUCAACUUGGGAAUAACGGUUGGAAACGACCGCUAAUACCGAAUGUGGUAUGUUUAGGCAUCUAAAACAUAUUAAAGAAGGGGAUCUUCGGACCUUUCGGUUGAGGGAGAGUCUAUGGGAUAUCAGCUUGUUGGUGGGGUAAUGGCCUACCAAGGCUUUGACGUCUAGGCGGAUUGAGAGAUUGACCGCCAACACUGGGACUGAGACACUGCCCAGACUUCUACGGAAGGCUGCAGUCGAGAAUCUUUCGCAAUGGACGAAAGUCUGACGAAGCGACGCCGCGUGUGUGAUGAAGGCUCUAGGGUUGUAAAGCACUUUCGCUUGGGAAUAAGAGAGAUUGGCUAAUAUCCAAUCGAUUUGAGCGUACCAGGUAAAGAAGCACCGGCUAACUCCGUGCCAGCAGCUGCGGUAAUACGGAGGGUGCUAGCGUUAAUCGGAUUUAUUGGGCGUAAAGGGCGUGUAGGCGGAAAGGAAAGUUAGAUGUUAAAUCUUGGGGCUCAACCCCAAGCCAGCAUCUAAUACUAUCUUUCUAGAGGGUAGAUGGAGAAAAGGGAAUUCCACGUGUAGCGGUGAAAUGCGUAGAUAUGUGGAAGAACACCAGUGGCGAAGGCGCUUUUCUAAUUUACACCUGACGCUAAGGCGCGAAAGCAAGGGGAGCAAACAGGAUUAGAUACCCUGGUAGUCCUUGCCGUAAACGAUGCAUACUUGAUGUGGAUAGUCUCAACCCUAUCCGUGUCGUAGCUAACGCGUUAAGUAUGCCGCCUGAGGAGUACACUCGCAAGGGUGAAACUCAAAAGAAUUGACGGGGGCCCGCACAAGCAGUGGAGCAUGUGGUUUAAUUCGAUGCAACGCGAAGAACCUUACCUGGGCUUGACAUGUAUUUGACCGCGGCAGAAAUGUCGUUUUCCGCAAGGACAGAUACACAGGUGCUGCAUGGCUGUCGUCAGCUCGUGCCGUGAGGUGUUGGGUUAAGUCCCGCAACGAGCGCAACCCUUAUCGUUAGUUGCCAACACUUAGGGUGGGAACUCUAACGAGACUGCCUGGGUUAACCAGGAGGAAGGCGAGGAUGACGUCAAGUCAGCAUGGCCCUUAUGCCCAGGGCUACACACGUGCUACAAUGGCCAGUACAGAAGGUAGCAAUAUCGUGAGAUGGAGCAAAUCCUCAAAGCUGGCCCCAGUUCGGAUUGUAGUCUGCAACUCGACUACAUGAAGUCGGAAUUGCUAGUAAUGGCGUGUCAGCUAUAACGCCGUGAAUACGUUCCCGGGCCUUGUACACACCGCCCGUCACAUCAUGGGAGUUGGUUUUGCCUUAAGUCGUUGACUCAACCUGCAAAGGAGAGAGGCGCCCAAGGUGAGGCUGAUGACUGGGAUGAAGUCGUAACAAGGUAGCCCUACCGGAAGGUGGGGCUGGAUCACCU